GGGACAUGCCUCGUUCAAUCUGAUGACGGCAUCUGGUGCUAGUUGUUCAAGCCGUGCUUGAAAAGGGUGGUUCGAAGUUGCCAUUCCUAUCUUUAGCUAGGAGUGGCAUCGCAGGCCUGAAUCCUGUCUCGGAAUGCGGCCGGGAGGAGAGAGAACAAAUACCAAAUAAGGCUGCGCCAGGCAGAAUUUUGACAAGACAAUCCCUCACUACGCAAAAAUUGGAGUUUUAAUAGCUCUUGACGAGCAAAGAAAGGAUACGACCCAACAAUGGUCAAAGAAAAAGAGCACUGCAACAUAGUUAUAAAUCAAGAGUAAACUAGAUUUAUUCUAUAAAUAACACAGGGG
RNAcentral lists this small RNA (345 nucleotides) under Histoplasma capsulatum. RNAcentral describes it as "hypothetical RNA". RNAcentral also lists the same sequence under 1 other name. Lineage: Eukaryota; Fungi; Ascomycota; Eurotiomycetes; Onygenales; Ajellomycetaceae. The record is from RNAcentral.